CAGCUUGGAAUAGAUUGUGCAGCCCAAUAUCCUGAUAAUCGUCCAUCAAUGUCCGAAGUAACUAGUCGAAUUGAGGAGCUACGUCGUUCUAGCCUAGGUGAAGAUCAAGAUCUACAGCCAGAUGUAGUUGAUGUGGAUGAUAAUUCUUCUCGAUGAGUUGGCUGCAUCACCCCAGCAGGGAUUGUAAAAGGAAUUUCAUUGCUUUGUUCAUGCCCA
Molecule: unclassified non-coding RNA, 216 nt
Filed under: Hevea brasiliensis (rubber tree)
Lineage: Eukaryota; Viridiplantae; Streptophyta; Magnoliopsida; Malpighiales; Euphorbiaceae
Source: RNAcentral